UACGGAGGGGGCUAGCGUUGUUCGGAAUUACUGGGCGUAAAGCGCACGUAGGCGGCUUUGCAAGUUAGAGGUGAAAGCCCGGGGCUCAACUCCGGAAUUGCCUUUAAACUCGCAUCGCUAGAGUUGUGGAGAGGUAAGUGGAAUUCCGAGUGUAGAGGUGAAAUUCGUAGAUAUUCGGAAGAACACCAGUGGCGAAGGCGACUUACUGGACACAUACCUGACGCUGAGGUGCGAAAGCGAUGGGGAGCAA
This 250-nucleotide ribosomal RNA is filed under the name uncultured bacterium. RNAcentral's name for it is "partial 16S ribosomal RNA". It matches the Rfam family "Bacterial small subunit ribosomal RNA", at positions 524 to 771 of the family's 1533-position model. The record is from RNAcentral.